GGUGAGUCGGGUCCUAAGGCGAGGCCGACAGGCGUAGUCGAAUGGAUGAACGGGUGGAUAUUCCCGUACCGACCAUGGACCGGCAAAACCGAGACGGUGAGUACUAACCUCCGCCUCGUGGUGGUUCCUUCCUUCGGGUUGGUUCCGCCGCGUGGUGUUGGGAGCGUAGCCGCAGUAGGUCAGCGCAGGGGUGACACGGAAUGGGAGCCGGCCGCGGAGGUGGUUUUCCGUGGUCAAGCACGCAGCCAGUCAUGUAGGCAAAUCCGCAUGGCGUGCAUGGCGAGGUGUGAUGAUGGGAGCCGUUAUGGCUCGAUAUCCGGUUGUCCAGGCCGUCGAGAAAAGCCUCGGCGUGAGGGCCAUGGCCGCCCGUACCCCAAACCGACACUGGUGGUCAGGUAGAGAAUACCAAGGCGAUCGAGCGAAUCCUGGUCAAGGAACUCGGCAAAUCACUCCCGUGCCUUCGGUAUAAGGGAGACCCACUGGGGUGAAGGACCUUGCGUCCGGAGCUUUGGUGGGUGGCACAGACCAGGGGGUAGCGACUGUUUACCAAAAACACAGGUGCAUGCGAAGGCGAAAGCCGCUGUAUAUGCACUGACGCCUGCCCGGUGCCGGAAGGUUAAGAGGAUCCGUCAGCCUUCGGGUGAAGCGGUGAAUUCAAGCCCCGGUAAACGGCGGUGGUAACUAUAACCAUCCUAAGGUAGCGAAAUUCCUUGUCGGGUAAGUUCCGACCUGCACGAAUGGCGUAACGACUUCCCCACUGUCUCGACCAGGAGCUCGGCGAAAUUGCAGUACGAGUAAAGAUGCUCGUUAAGCGCAGAAGGACGAAAAGACCCCGGGACCUUUACUAUACCUUGGUAUUGGCGUUAGGCGCGGAUUGUGUAGCAUAGGCGGGAGGCUUCGAAGCGUGGGCGCCAGCUCAUGUGGAGCCGCAAGGUGAAAUACCGCUCUGUUCUCGUUUGACGUCUAACCUCGACAAGUCAUCCUUGUCAGGGACAGUGCCUGGCGGGUAGUUCAACUGGGGCGGUUGCCUCCCAAAGAGUAACGGAGGCGCUCAAAGGUCCGCUCAGCCCGGUUGGCAAUCGGGUGUCGAGUGUAAUCGCACAAGCGGGCUUGACUGCGAGGACGACGGUCCGAGCAGGGACGAAAGUCGGAGAUAGUGAUCCGGUGCCGGCGCACGGGCGCGGCAUCGCUCAACGGAUAAAAGGUACCCCGGGGAUAACAGGCUGAUCAUUCCCAAGAGUCCAUAUCGACGGGAUGGUUUGGCACCUCGAUGUCGGCUCGUCGCAUCCUGGGGCUGGAGCAGGUCCCAAGGGUUCGGCUGUUCGCCGAUUAAAGCGGCACGCGAGCUGGGUUCAGAACGUCGUGAGACAGUUUGGUCUCUAUCCUCUGCGCUCGUUGGAAUCCUGAGGAGGCCUGCCCAUAGUACGAGAGGACCUGGGUGGACGAACCUCUGGUAUGCCGGUUGUCGCGCCAGCGGCACGGCCGGUUGGCUACGUUCGGGAGGGAUAACCGCUGAAAGCAUCUAAGCGGGAAGCCUGCUCCAAGAUAAGCAUUCCGUGGAACCUUCGAGUUCCUGUAGUCCCCAUGCAGAACACGUGGUCGAUAGGCCGGACGUGGAAGCCCCGCGAGGGGUGGAGCCGACCGGUACUAACGGACGAAAGGCAACACUA
Molecule: ribosomal RNA, 1670 nt
Filed under: human gut metagenome
Description: bacterial LSU rRNA
Rfam family: Bacterial large subunit ribosomal RNA
Source: RNAcentral